RNAcentral lists this ribosomal RNA (492 nucleotides) under uncultured Sphingobacteriales bacterium. RNAcentral describes it as "bacterial SSU rRNA". It matches the Rfam family "Bacterial small subunit ribosomal RNA", at positions 888 to 1382 of the family's 1533-position model. Lineage: Bacteria; Pseudomonadati; Bacteroidota; Sphingobacteriia; Sphingobacteriales. The record is from RNAcentral.
CCCGCUCAGAAACUUAAAGGAAGUUGACGGGGCCCGCACAAGCGGUGGAGCAUGUGGUUUAAUUCGAUGAUACGCGAGGAACCUUACCUGGGCUCAAAUGUAUGUUGACGUAUUCUGAAAGGGAUACUUCUUCGGACAAUAUACAAGGUGCUGCAUGGUUGUCGUCAGCUCGUGCCGUGAGGUGUCGGGUUAAGUCCCAUAACGAGCGCAACCCCUAUCAUUAGUUGCCAUCAGGUCAAGCUGGGGACUCUAAUGAAACUGCCUACGCAAGUAGUGAGGAAGGUGGGGAUGACGUCAAAUCAGCACGGCCCUUACGUCCAGGGCUACACACGUGCUACAAUGGCCGGUACAAAGGGCAGCUACCUGGUGACAGGAUGCUAAUCUCAAAAGCCGGUCUCAGUUCGGAUCGGAGUCUGCAACCCGACUCCGUGACGCUGGAAUCGCUAGUAAUCGCGCAUCAGCCAUGGCGCGGUGAAUACGUUCCCGGGCCUU